Transfer RNA from Thalassiosira oceanica, 71 nucleotides. It matches the Rfam family "tRNA". From Rfam's summary of the family: Transfer RNA (tRNA) molecules are approximately 80 nucleotides in length. Their secondary structure includes four short double-helical elements and three loops (D, anti-codon, and T loops). Lineage: Eukaryota; Bacillariophyta; Thalassiosirophyceae; Thalassiosirales; Thalassiosiraceae. The record is from Rfam.
GCGCCCAUGGUGUAGUGGUAACAUGAAUCCCUUCCAAGGAUUCGCCCUGAGUUCGAUUCUCGGUGGGCGCA